This is a non-coding RNA of Bacteroidia bacterium 44-10, 161 nucleotides long. The record is from Rfam. NCBI's taxonomy places the organism in Bacteria, Pseudomonadati, Bacteroidota, Bacteroidia.
UCCAUUGCGAGGUGGAAUCUGUAGGAAGCCGGCGGCAAAAUCCCGAUCCGAGGAGCACGAACAUCAUACAAGGCUCAAGCCACAGGACGAGUUUGCAAUACAAAACGAAAUCCGAAAGCUAUCCGGAUGUGGCAGAGUAAAUGAUAUUCAAAGAGGUUAAC